RNAcentral lists this unclassified non-coding RNA (376 nucleotides) under soil metagenome. RNAcentral's name for it is "partial contains 5.8S ribosomal RNA, internal transcribed spacer 2, and large subunit ribosomal RNA". The stretch from base 1 to 120 matches the Rfam family "5.8S ribosomal RNA", at positions 35 to 154 of the family's 154-position model. The record is from RNAcentral.
GAUGAAGAACGCAGCGAAAUGCGAUAAGUAAUGUGAAUUGCAGAAUUCAGUGAAUCAUCGAAUCUUUGAACGCAUCUUGCGCUCCUUGGUAUUCUGAGGAGCAUGCCUGUUUGAGUGUCAUUAAAUUCUCAACUACACUGACUUUGAAUUGGUGUGGCUUGGAUUUGGGGGGAAAAUUGUUGUGGGCUUUUUGUAUAGUCUGCUCCCCUGAAAUUGAUUAGCGGUACCUUUGUGGAACUGUCUACAGGUGUGAUAAUUAUCUACAUCUUAGACAUCUGCUGGAAUGCUGCUUUCUAAACCUUACUUGUAUUGACAGUCUUGACCUCAAAUCAGGUAGGACUACCCGCUGAACUUAAGCAUAUCAAUAAGCGGAGGA